AACCCUAUUUCAGUACCUUUCAUUCGCAUCACCAUGAAUGAACGGCUAUGCUAAUGGGGAAGAAUAAACACUGUCAUGGUCUGAAGGUGUGGCUAGCUGACUGUGCACCACUCUAAAUAUAUUGACAGAACAUACUGUA
Solea solea (common sole) is the source of this 139-nucleotide small nucleolar RNA. RefSeq annotates it as small nucleolar RNA SNORA29. The record is from RefSeq and is a predicted model, not a curated record. NCBI's taxonomy places the organism in Eukaryota, Metazoa, Chordata, Actinopteri, Pleuronectiformes, Soleidae. The transcript has a single exon.